Molecule: ribosomal RNA, 275 nt
Filed under: uncultured bacterium
Lineage: Bacteria
Description: partial 16S ribosomal RNA
Rfam family: Bacterial small subunit ribosomal RNA
Source: RNAcentral
AGACGGGGGGUGCUAGCGUUGCUCGGAAUCACUGGGCGUAAAGGGCGCGUAGGCGGCCCGUCGCGUCGGGCGUGAAAUCCCGGGGCUCAACUCCGGAACGGCGCUCGAUACGGGCGGUCUGGAGGCCGGAAGAGGAGGGCGGAAUUCCCGGUGUAGAGGUGAAAUUCGUAGAUAUCGGGAGGAACACCGGUGGCGAAGGCGGCUCUCUGGUCCGGUCCUGACGCUGAGGCGCGAAAGCGUGGGGAGCAAACAGGAUUAGAAACCCUAGUAGUCCC